Molecule: long non-coding RNA, 484 nt
Filed under: Homo sapiens (human)
Lineage: Eukaryota; Metazoa; Chordata; Mammalia; Primates; Hominidae
Description: HSALNT0171492
Source: RNAcentral
CCCCCGCCCUGCCCCGGGCGCACGGGCUGCGGGGGUGGGGACUCUCCCUGAGGUCACCAGGGGCUCCGCCUUGAGGUCACAGCCGCGGGAGGCCGUGCUCGUGCUUUGGAGCUCCAUGUGAUGUGGUCGGUGGAAGACGUCUCCUUUGUCAGAAUCCGCGCUCAGAUUCCCGGAAUAGCUGCCAGACCGACCCCAGCGUUUAGCCCGGGAAGGGGAGGCCCUGUUGACAGAAGAGAAGACUCAAGCCUGAUUUGCAGAUAGCUCUGCAUAGGACACAGCUACCAGACAGAAAUGGCCAGAGGGAAGGGAAGCCCAACUUUCAUCCUUCCGGGAAUAACACCUUUCCUGGGGACAGGUUUACACUGAUUUCUGGGUGGUGUCUGGUGAUUUUGUCAGAGUGGGAAGAGCUAAUGCAAGGCAUAUAUUGGAGUUAAUCACUUUUGUGAGCAACUGAGCUCUAUCUGCUGGAUCUUAUGAGAAUAAG